RNAcentral lists this ribosomal RNA (559 nucleotides) under uncultured bacterium. Its description in RNAcentral is "bacterial SSU rRNA". It matches the Rfam family "Bacterial small subunit ribosomal RNA", at positions 119 to 674 of the family's 1533-position model. The record is from RNAcentral.
AGGAAUCUGCCUGGUAGUGGGGGACAACGUUUCGAAAGGGACGCUAAUACCGCAUACGUCCUACGGGAGAAAGCAGGGGACCUUCGGGCCUUGCGCUAUCAGAUGAGCCUAGGUCGGAUUAGCUAGUUGGUGAGGUAAUGGCUCACCAAGGCGACGAUCCGUAACUGGUCUGAGAGGAUGAUCAGUCACACUGGAACUGAGACACGGUCCAGACUCCUACGGGAGGCAGCAGUGGGGAAUAUUGGACAAUGGGCGAAAGCCUGAUCCAGCCAUGCCGCGUGUGUGAAGAAGGUCUUCGGAUUGUAAAGCACUUUAAGUUGGGAGGAAGGGCAGUAAGCGAAUACCUUGCUGUUUUGACGUUACCGACAGAAUAAGCACCGGCUAACUCUGUGCCAGCAGCCGCGGUAAUACAGAGGGUGCAAGCGUUAAUCGGAAUUACUGGGCGUAAAGCGCGCGUAGGUGGUUUGUUAAGUUGGAUGUGAAAGCCCCGGGCUCAACCUGGGAACUGCAUCCAAAACUGGCAAGCUAGAGUACAGUAGAGGGUGGUGGAAUUUCCUGU